AAAUUUUAUAAUUACAAUAGGGAAUAAAUUAACUAAUAUUAAGAACCGUGAACAAAUUGUAAUAUAUAUAAAUAUAUAUAUUAGCUAGGCUUUGACAUUGACAGAUAAAUUAGUUAGAUUUUAUAAAAUAUUUAUUUUAAUUUAUUUAAUAACGACUUGUUUCUCCUUUAUAUUUGUAGUGUUUCACCCAUUUAAUUAUGAGAAAUUUGAAAAAGUUUUGAAUUCUUUGGUAUGAGACAAGUUCAGGAAUUGAUGGAAAGAUUUUUGUAUUAGGUUUCUUUAUUUUUCCAUUGGAUUUUGUGAGAUCAUGCAGAGAAAUUCUCGUCGAAAUUUUGGGCAUGUCAAGUCCAAAAUUACCGACAAAUUUUAAUAUACAAAAUGGAAAUGAUGGAGUUUGCUACUCGAAUUUGACAGUUAUUUUUUGAGAUUUAACUCUAAUUAUUUUAUGAUUUCAAAGACAGAGAGAAUGCUAACGUCCACGUAAUUAGAAUUCCAUGUGUUUGGUUUGUUUAGGAGAAUUCCAAGUAGGUCUGUCCAUUGCUAGAAAGAACUGAGUAAGUGUAAGAUUUAAUUUGUUUGUCUUAAAUCUUAAUUUAAAGAUCUGAAGCGAUUGGUUUCAAAUUAAUGAUUAUGCAGUUAUACACGGCAAGAUGAACAAAUUAUUUGGCGAUAUACGUAAGGAAUUCAAAAGAAUAAUCAUUUGUGGACGAUCAUUCGUUUGAAUUUUUCAAACAGAAAUAGAGAAUUUCCUUUUCCUCCAAAAAUCGGCAUACAUUUAUGACCAAUUUUGGAGAGAACAUGAAUAUUUGUAUGUUCAGAUAUAGUUAAUUCCCUUUUGUAUUCUGUCGUUUAACAUGUACCGAUCCUCCUGUGCAGAUAAACAAAGUAGCGUUGAUAUCCAUUCACAUCUACAUUCACAAACGUUGCACCAAAAUCACAUUUUACUUAUUGGUAUUCUUGUUACGUAUGGUCAUCAAAUCUCUGUUUAGUUCUUUACAAGACCAUUUUUGAAUUAAAAAUAAUUAUUGGUGUUAAAUCUGUAAUCAUGGCACCCAUUCGUAUGCAAUUUUUGUCCAUCUUGUAAACAUAAUUGCAGAUACUUUCAUCCACCGUGCUUCGGUAGUAGUGAGGACACCUACAGUUUGACCGAAAUGCUAGUCUAUCGUGCCUCCAAUUCUUGUUUUACUUCAUAAAUAAUUUCAUGUCACCCAAGAAUGUAUCCACCACUGUAACAGAAUAAAGAUAAACAAUAACAGGAAUACAAAGCUGUAAUUUUGACAUUGAAUAUAAAUUACAUACCUGUUAAUUUGCUUUUCCUGCAACAAUUGUUACGCUACUAGAAACUUUCUAGUCACUGCAAGUAACGCAAUGAUCAAGUUCUAGAAUUUGCAAUUCCACAUCUUAGUAGCGUAGCAUAGCAUAGCAUGACUCAAAUUUACAAAUGUAGUUGCAUUACAAUCAGUUUAUCGUUUGUAGCCACAUUUAUUCUUCAUGACGAUUUGCAUUACGAGACAAUCCGUUCCUUAAAUUAAUUAUUGGCCGCCCGCGAAACACUUUUCUUAUUGUUCCUCUGUGUCUCUGUGAUUUGCACCUCAAUAAUUUGUCGCAAUACUAAGUAAAUUAUUUUGGCAAAGGGACCAAGUCACCUUAUUAAUUGUUUACAAAUUUGUUUCUUGUAUGCGACAGCAGUUUUCAGUAGAAUUAUCAUUAAUAAGUGAGCCCGCAUCAUUAGUUCAUCUUGCUGUGUAUGCUUUGACAGCUUUUUUCAUUUUCAAAAUUAAUUUUCCAGAAAGCAUCACCACUAAAUGACGCAAUUGUGAUAACAGCAAAAAAAUUACACUUUUUGUUUUUACUUUGUAAAAUAAAACAGAACAUCAAAACUUCAUUGCUCAAAAUUUUGUCACUUUAAAGAAUUUGUAUUCAAAGUCUUUUGUAAUCUGAGAGUCUUUGACAGAAUUUCCAUUUUGAAACACUGCGGAGGGGAUUUGUUUUGUAAAUUUUCGAUCGGCACAAACCGACGAAGAUUCCUAUUUAAGUGAUGCCAGAGACAUUAAAGCAUCGAGUGCCAUAAUUCUAUUCUUUAAUACCGCAGUGCUCUGUUUUCCAUUGUUACUUUGGAAUGUUUGGCGAAUUUAAGCAUGCAGAGACGUCCUCGCGCACAUUAUUUAUCCCGGUGCCACGGGGUUCUACUUUACUCCACCUCGUUCAUCACAGAAAAAGCAAUUUAUCUUCACUUACUUCAAGGAUAACACAUCUAGCCAAGCCACAUUCCUCUCUCGACUCUCGCAUCCUAUAUUAGACAUUUGAAGAGCUGCUAUUUAUUAUAAAUAUAUUUAUUUAUUUUUUUGUUUAAAAAUAAUAAGCCAAAUUUUAAGAAUUAAUCCAAAUAACCACAGCUUUACUCGAUAGAAUUGGUCUGUUGUUAUAUUUUAAUAGUUUAAGUAUUAUUUAUUUGUAUUUAUAGAUGGAUUGAAAGAAUUUUUCGUUUGAAUCGUUCUUUCCGAACUUCUGUAUAUUUAUGUAAAGAGAUAUAACAUCUAUUUUUGAUUAUUUUCGAAUUUUUCCCAUAUAUUUGUAUACAUAAGAACCGUGUGUACGGAUAUGCAUCAUAUAAAUGAAUAAAAUAAAAGAUAUAUAUUAUAUAUUUAUGCCGACAUACGUCGUCCAAAAUGAAUUUUGUAUUGAGAACCAAAACGAGAAGAUUUUGCUUUCUCCGAAUAAACUCUUGAUUUAUCAUGCUA
Molecule: long non-coding RNA, 2741 nt
Organism: Centruroides sculpturatus (bark scorpion)
Lineage: Eukaryota; Metazoa; Arthropoda; Arachnida; Scorpiones; Buthidae
Exons: 2
Source: RefSeq, a predicted model, not a curated record